RNAcentral lists this ribosomal RNA (498 nucleotides) under uncultured bacterium. RNAcentral describes it as "bacterial SSU rRNA". It matches the Rfam family "Bacterial small subunit ribosomal RNA", at positions 36 to 507 of the family's 1533-position model. The record is from RNAcentral.
CUGGCGGCCGUGCCUAAUACAUGCAAGUCAACGGUCUUUUCUAUGGAAGCUUUGCUUCCGCUGAGAAGAUAGUGGCGAACGGGUGAGUAACACGUGGGUAACCUGCCCAUAAGAGGGGGAUAACAUCCGGAAACGGGUGCUAAUACCGCAUAGUUUCUUGAUCGCAUGAUCGGGAAGGAAGACGGCCUUUGUGCUGUCGCUUAUGGAUGGACCCGCGGCGUAUUAGUUAGUUGGUGAGGUAACGGCUCACCAAGACGAUGAUACCGUAGCCGACCUGAGAGGGUGAUCGGCCACAUUGGGACUGAGACACGGCCCAGACUCCUACGGGAGGCAGCAGUGGGGAAUAUUGCGCAAUGGGCGAAAGCCUGACGCAGCCAUGCCGCGUGUGUGAAGAAGGCCUUAGGGUUGUAAAGCACUUUCAAUUGGGAAGAAAAGUUGGUCGUUAAUAGGCGGCCAGCCCUGACAUUACCUUUAGAAGAAGGACCGGCUAACUACGUG